This 25-nucleotide non-coding RNA is filed under the name Rattus norvegicus (Norway rat). The record is from RNAcentral. Lineage: Eukaryota; Metazoa; Chordata; Mammalia; Rodentia; Muridae.
UGAGUACUGGUGCCUGGCGGCCUGA